Molecule: long non-coding RNA, 252 nt
Filed under: Lathyrus oleraceus (garden pea)
Lineage: Eukaryota; Viridiplantae; Streptophyta; Magnoliopsida; Fabales; Fabaceae
Description: Pisum sativum (pea) long non-coding RNA (PSAT_LNC022897)
Source: RNAcentral
UUAAAUGUAUAAACUAAGAUAAACUAAAAAAGAAAUAAAAUAAAAAAACUAAAUAAUAAAAAACUGUAGAGUUCCCUAAUUAAUCCCAACCCCUGGCCGUUGGUUUCUUCAAAAAGAGAAUAAAAUGGGGAAUGGAAAAUAUUUAUUGACUGAACCUAGGAAACCUAAUCAUAAAUUUAAUAGUUUUAAAAAUAACUUAUUCUGUAUGGAAUAAAUUAAAAAAAACAUUAAGAAAAAGUAACAGACUCGUUC